This 570-nucleotide long non-coding RNA is filed under the name Salmo salar (Atlantic salmon). Its description in RNAcentral is "lncRNA (ENSSSAG00000090017.1)". The record is from RNAcentral. Lineage: Eukaryota; Metazoa; Chordata; Actinopteri; Salmoniformes; Salmonidae.
UCUGCCCUAUAGCAUGCAUCUGUCUAUUGGAGCUGGUUAGUAUGUCUAGGUAAUCGAGUCAAACUUGGCUUUUUUUAAAUGUAGCACGUAGUAAAACUGCAUAAACCUAAUGUCAAGUUAAAGUGUAUUGUUAGCUAGCUAACGUUAGCUGGCUGGCUCGCUAGUUGCUAACGUUAUGUGUAUGCGCUCCACUUUCUGGAGGACCGAGUUUUGAAAUCAGUGGAAUUCGAGUAUGAUAGCUAAGGAGAUGGAGAAAACACCAGUCUGGAUUACAUCAUCAAACUAAGGGCAACCAUGCAUGGCAUCAGACAGGAGACGCGUCCAACCAUGAUGUAUACUGCAACUCUACUCCCACUUGUCUCCAAUUCCACAUCCUAACCCUCAGCUUCCCUCAGCCCCUCCCACCUAUCUCUGCUAGCCACCCUCUUCGGAUUUCUACGCAACAUAUAUCUUUCAACUAUGCUGUGAUGUUUAACGUACAAUUUCAAUCUUUCUAAUUGAAUAGAAUCCACAGAUUGCAAGUUGAAGAUUAAUACCUUUACUAAGGGUAUUAGUAUAUUAGUAAUUGAC